Molecule: small RNA, 418 nt
Filed under: Klebsiella oxytoca
Lineage: Bacteria; Pseudomonadati; Pseudomonadota; Gammaproteobacteria; Enterobacterales; Enterobacteriaceae
Description: cspA thermoregulator
Rfam family: cspA thermoregulator
Source: RNAcentral
GGUUUGAAGUAAAGACCACAGAGCAUUCGAAUAGAGCAGUCCUUCAAAGGUUAUCCGUUGAUACCCCGGUAGUGAACUUUCCCUUUAUCGCUUUAAAUCUGUAGUCCAGACCGUAACGCCGCAAGGCUCAUUUAUUUUUUUAAAGGUAAUUCACUAUGUCCGGUAAAAUGACUGGUAUCGUAAAAUGGUUCAACGCUGACAAAGGCUUUGGCUUCAUCACUCCUGACGAUGGUUCUAAAGACGUGUUCGUACACUUCUCUGCUAUCCAGAACGAUGGCUAUAAAUCUCUGGACGAAGGUCAGAAAGUUUCCUUCACCAUCGAAAGCGGCGCUAAAGGCCCGGCAGCUGGCAACGUAACCAGCCUGUAAGCUUAAAAAGCUCAAAAUUCUAAGUCCCUGCCAUACGGCGGGGAUUUUUU